AAAAUGGCGGCACCCACGUCUUCCGCAAGCUGCGCAAACAAGGCAUCCACUGCCAUUUCAACCGCAUUGUUCUAUUCCCUUCCAAAAGAGAGGCCGAAACGUUUUGUUCGUGCAAACCUGCUGGAUGUAAUCGACACUAAUGAGAGUGAUUUUUCUGCUGAUGAGGGAAGUGAAGAUGAACUGUCUGGAGACAGCAGUGGUGAAGAAUGGGCCGACUCAACUGAGGCUGACGAGGCUGAGGCAGAAGUUCCAAGCACGACAGAUAAUCCUGCAAGGGAUGGGAAAUCAAGUAACGCGAAGAAGCGGUACACAUGGCUGAAAAAGGAGUUCGAUAAUGAAGCAGUGAGUUUCCAGAACGACUUUCCGCUGCCUCCUGCAGAGCCGCUGAGCGCCAAGCAAUACUUUGACAUGUUUGUUUCCCGAUCCAUGUUGAAAGCUGUGGUGGAUGAGAGCAACAAGUACUACUUUCAGAAACAUGGAACCCCCCUAAACCUCACUGUUGAGGAACUGACAUCUGUGCUGGGUAUGUUCUUCAGGAUGGGACUUGUAAACAUGCACAUGGUUCGUGCUUACUGGAAAAGUGGAAGUAUAUAUGAAUUAGUGGCCCAGGUUAUGUCUCGAAACAGGUUUGAGAAAAUAACAAGUCACUUGCACUUCUUUGAUAAUGAAGCGGCCACUGAAAAAAUUAAAGAAGACAAGUGUUGGAAAGUGCGUCCAUAGCUCACUUCCUUGCGCAGCAACAUGAUUGGCUUGCCCCAAGAAAAAAAGUCAGCAGUGGACGAAGUCCUGAUCCCUUUCCGUGGACGUUGUUACAUUCGGCAAUACAUGCCUAAUAAACCUAAAAGCAAAUGGGGCCUGAAAGUUUGGGCGCGUUCUGGAGAAUCAGGUCUGUGCUACGAUUUUGAUGUAUACCAACGCUGCAACAAAGGUUUUUAUGGCUACCAGGAUGGCUACCAGCUUGGGUUGGGAGCUGGUGUUGUGCUCCAGCUGUGUUCGAGCCUUCCGAAGCGAGACGACAGUCUAGUCGUCGCUGACAACUUCUUUACUGGCCCUCACCUUGUAGAAGAACUCACUAAAAUGGGAAUCUCCUACAUUGGCACCGUCCGUGAAAACAGACUCAAUUGCGUCAAGUUAAUGGAUGACAAAUUGAUGAAAAAGCGAGGUCGGGGUACCUGCGAUACUUCCGUUGCCUCCUGUGAUCAAAAGACGAUGGUGGCCGUGAAGUGGUAUGACAACCGCUCUGUAACUCUCCUUUCCAACUGCAUUGGUACCAACCCGGUUACCUCCGUUAAAAGGUGGAAUAGCAAGGAAAAAAAGCAUGUCUUUGUAGACUGCCCAGCGAUCAUCCCUGCCUAUAACAGAUCGAUGGGUGGCGUGGACCUUCUUGACAAAAUGUGCUUCUCAUAUCGUUUUCCCAUCACGUCAAAGCGCUGGUAUAUGUAUUUAUUUUGGCAUACGCUGAAGAUGGCUGCUGUUAAUGCAUAGCUCAUGCAGAAGAGAAUCCUUCAGCAGCAGGGAUCGUCGCCCCCGCCUUUGAGAGAAUUCCUCUCUGAGCUCGCUACAAGCCUUAUCUUGCACAACAAGCGACCACCAGGGCGCCCUUCAAUUGAGAAUGUCACACCACUCAAGAAAAUGUGCUUAAAUGUACCCCGUGACGUCAGGACAGACAGCAAGGAACACUGGCCCACAUGGAAUACACGACGGAACCGCUGCAAGGCAUGCCCAGGGGGGUACACGUAUGUCUCUUGUUCGAAGUGUCAGGUGAUGCUUUGUUUAAACAAGGAUCGCAACUGUUUCGUAAGCUACCACCAGUAGGCUGCCAACAGGCCUACUUACGCUUUGUAUUGUGUUCGAUGUGAUAUGCGCCAGAAGGAACGGUGCUAAUAAAAGAAGUCUUUCACUUG
Molecule: non-coding RNA, 1904 nt
Organism: Dermacentor albipictus
Lineage: Eukaryota; Metazoa; Arthropoda; Arachnida; Ixodida; Ixodidae
Source: RefSeq, a predicted model, not a curated record